Molecule: long non-coding RNA, 411 nt
Filed under: Mytilus galloprovincialis (Mediterranean mussel)
Lineage: Eukaryota; Metazoa; Mollusca; Bivalvia; Mytilida; Mytilidae
Source: RNAcentral
UAUAUGAUAGAAAUAUUCAUCCACUAACCAUGACUGUUUUACUAAAUAUUUCAACAAUUAUUUCGUUUAAAAUGCACAGUGAACAAUAGGAUUGUUUUCAACAUAACUUAUCCGUUGGUCGAGGCUGCAGUCCUGCAAGAGAGUUGUUUUCCUUAUUUUAUCAUUGAAGAGAACUGGAACAUUAGCAUAUUUUGAAAAAUGUAUUUUUGUUAUUGGCUGUGAAUUUAAAUGUUAGAACCACGAAAGCCCAUAAAAGAAAGAAUUUUGAUUAUCCUUCAUGUCGGUUAAAUCAAUGUCCGAAGUAUUGAUGUAGCGAAACUUUUAUAUUUAUGUAAUAAGUACAUUGUAAAAGACUAACAACUUUAACAUCAGUUAAUCAUAUUAUCAUUACUAUGUUCAUAAACAUUUACG